Glycine soja is the source of this 1550-nucleotide long non-coding RNA. RefSeq lists it as uncharacterized. The record is from RefSeq and is a predicted model, not a curated record. The transcript is spliced from 2 exons. NCBI's taxonomy places the organism in Eukaryota, Viridiplantae, Streptophyta, Magnoliopsida, Fabales, Fabaceae.
AUUUAUUUAUUUUUGCCGCGGUCUCUUGAUUUGUUAAAGAAUAAAGAGUUUAAUGUUAGUCUAUGAUUAACUUGUUUCUGUUAAGUAACUAGGGUUAAGUGAUGAUAAAAUGCUACAUCAUCACUACCGGGUCUCAUAACAAAAAAUAAAAAAUUGUAACAUUUAUAAGAAGAAACAACAUAUUCAAACCAAUUACUGUAAUUAGCUGGGUUCAUAUAUGCAACGUUCCGCUCGCACAGGUUGGGGAGGAAGUAAUGGUUGAGGUUGAGGAGAUGUUUCAACAUAUGACUCUUGCCAGUAUAAAAUAGUUUGAGAGUUUUGAACUAUCAUAGUAGGGCAGAGUCAAGCGUACUAGUGUGAUUGAUUUUGGAGUAAAACUAAACGGGCCCAAGUCUUAUGGCCGGAGUCUGAUACUAAGAAUUUCCAACACAAAAUUCUAUAUUGGUGGACUUACUUCGGGUAUAAUGUGAUUCAAACUUUACUAGCUCGAUCAAUUAUUAUUCCUAACUGUUAACGUAUAAAAUGGAUUUCUUUUGACAGAAUAUGCUUUAGCUGGAAUUGACUUCACCAGGUUUGGUUACAGGUAGGUAGUUGAGUUUCUUGCGCAAUGAAUGGGUUUGAACUUUGAAGGGUGGUUAGGUGUCAGUAUGAGAGUUGAUAAUAAAUUGGUGCACGGACCAAGUAUGCUUCCAUAUGUGUAUUAUUAUGAUGGAUGGGUUGUUCUUUUCUAUUAUCCAAGUGACUCGUCGUUAUUCAAUUAUUAAAUUUUACAAAAUUCAAAUUAUUUCUUAUAACAAGUCGUGUGUAAUACUUUCUAUUUUCUAUUAAUCAUGUGGUAACUAAUAUACUUGUCAUUGCUUGAGUUAUUUUGUUUAACAGAAAAUGGUACUAUAUCAUACAAGAAAACAUUUAGAAAAAACUAUUUGAGCAAUUCUUGUAUAGACAAGUGAUCAUCAACUGUACUUAGCUAAGUGUUUGGCACCAUUCUGGGGUUGGUUUCAUGACUUUUCCAGCCACUGAAGCCAACCAAUUCCUUUCUACUAACUACCCUAAUAAAUGGCCGGCGAGAAAGGCAAAAAGAGGGGAUGAUGGUGGAAGCCUUAACAUGUUCAAGCAACUUUCUGUGCUUCAGCUUAUAAAAUAAAUGUAUGGUCCAACACUGGUGCAUUAAUCAUCUUCUUCAAAUCCCAAAAUAUGACGGGUUCUGCACCAGCACAGCAGCAGAUGUCAUACUAUGAUCACGUUCAGACGCGCCAUCAGGAGAAGGGAAGCCUCUAUUCUUGUUUGUAUACACUCUGUUGCUGCUUUUGCUGCUAUGAGGGUUGCAAGUGCUGCUUGGAACGCACCUGUUGUUGCUGUCCCUAGAUUGCCCGUUAAAUAAAUCAAGUUUAUAUAUGUUUCAAGGAGACAUCUAUCAAGUUUAUAUAUGUUUCAUAAUUACUGUUGUAUGAAAUGACGAUUCUGGAAGCCAAUAAGGAACACUCUUCACGUACCAUGUACUUCAAUUAAUUUUAAUUUUAAAAACAAAUGAAUUCGUUAUGCCUGUUAAA